This is a long non-coding RNA of Helianthus annuus (common sunflower), 332 nucleotides long. RefSeq lists it as uncharacterized. Lineage: Eukaryota; Viridiplantae; Streptophyta; Magnoliopsida; Asterales; Asteraceae. The transcript is spliced from 3 exons. The record is from RefSeq and is a predicted model, not a curated record.
UUAAAACCAAUCAAGUAUCUAGCCUUUUUUUAAAUAAAAUUCAUCACCGACACUUUCAUUUUUAUUUCGGAAGUUUUCGGACUUCCAAAUCGGAAUCGAUACAAUGAUGUGUAUAUAUAUAUAUUAAACAUCUCGACACAAGGAGAGAACCAUAGCCUUGCUGGAGAUCGGGGACGCACGUCGGAGACCCCGGGGUAAACCGAACACGCCCGACUGUUUCGGGUACUCUUUUCGUUAUUUGGAUCCUCUCAAUCUUUACUUGUGCGUUAUUACAAGAAAUCGCAACGCAAUCAAUGUUGAUAGACAAGAUGAUGAAGAAGCAAGUUAGGGUG